GUCGGACGGCGCACAGAGAAGCUUGCUUCUUGGGUGGCGAGUGGCGAACGGGUGAGUAACAUAUCGGAACGUACCGAGUAAUGGGGGAUAACUAAUCGAAAGAUUAGCUAAUACCGCAUAUUCUCUGAGGAGGAAAGCAGGGGACCUUCGGGCCUUGCGUUAUUCGAGCGGCCGAUAUCUGAUUAGCUAGUUGGUGGGGU
This 200-nucleotide ribosomal RNA is filed under the name Neisseria mucosa. RNAcentral's name for it is "partial 16S ribosomal RNA". It matches the Rfam family "Bacterial small subunit ribosomal RNA", at positions 61 to 258 of the family's 1533-position model. The record is from RNAcentral. Lineage: Bacteria; Pseudomonadati; Pseudomonadota; Betaproteobacteria; Neisseriales; Neisseriaceae.